This 914-nucleotide long non-coding RNA is filed under the name Androctonus crassicauda. Lineage: Eukaryota; Metazoa; Arthropoda; Arachnida; Scorpiones; Buthidae. The record is from RNAcentral.
AUUUCUCUCCUUUUCCCGGAAAAAUGGCUGGCAUCAUCUGCGUUGAGAAAGCAUUCACUCGAUAUUGUUGAAGUGUAAGGAGAUGGAGUGUAGUUUACCUGGGUGGUGGAGGUUGUCGGCGUCGGCUGGUGGAGGAUAAACGAGUAACAAGAAAUGGCUGUGACAUAUGUAAAUUUGGUGUGGAACUGAUGUUUUUCUUUUUGAGGAUUAACUUGUUAAUUAAUAUUUCUUUAAUGAUACUUAUUAUUUUUAAUUUACAAUAUUUUCAUUAUUAUAUUUAUGCAGUGAUAUUUGGCUAUUUGCUUGAUAUUUUAUGUAAAUUUAGUUUUGCUAUUAAAGGCAAUAGUUUGAGGUGGCGUAGCAGUCUCGCCUUGGUUGUCCGGCCGUGCAUUUACGUUUCCAUUGUGUAUCAUCACUGGUUGAAAGUUUAUGUGGUUCAUCUGGGAACUUUGUGAAUGUUGUUUAGUGUUUUUUUGUAAGAAUAGAUUGGAAAGUUGCCGGAAACGAAAUAUUGUAUUUUGUAUUUUAGGCGAGACUAUUGUAAGUAAUACGUUUGUAGUUAUUUCUAAUUCUCUAAUAAAGUUCUUAUUUUUGAAGAUUUAUGGAGUAUUAUUUGGAUAGUGCCUAUCGUUUUCUACGUAACACCAAGUUUGGAAUUACUAUUGAUGUCAGUAUUAGUCAACAAAGAGGGGCAACUUCACGGGGCCGAACUUAUGAGGGUUCGAGAGAGCGGACGAAUACCUCGCAGAAGUAUAAACUAUAGACGAAUAAAAUCAAAACCGGCUACUCUAAUACAAUGAAAAAUGUGUCAGUGAUUUAUAAGUACAAGUAUUUUUACAAAUCAUUGCUUAUUUUUGUUGGAGAGAAAUCAAACGUUUACCAUUUCAGUAAUGAAAUGGUAUAAUAGAGUAACC